Molecule: transfer RNA, 67 nt
Filed under: Extatosoma tiaratum (giant prickly stick insect)
Lineage: Eukaryota; Metazoa; Arthropoda; Insecta; Phasmatodea; Phasmatidae
Description: tRNA-Ala
Rfam family: tRNA
About the family: Transfer RNA (tRNA) molecules are approximately 80 nucleotides in length.
Source: RNAcentral
GGGACUAUAGUUAAAAAUAACAUUUGUUUUGCAGCCAAAAAGUAUUGUAUAUAAUCAAUUACUCUCA